CACGCUGUAAACGAUGAAUACUAGGUGUGGGGGGACUGACCCCCUCCGUGCCGCAGUUAACACAAUAAGUAUUCCACCUGGGGAGUACGACCGCAAGGUUGAAACUCAAAGGAAUUGACGGGGGCCCGCACAAGCAGUGGAUUAUGUGGUUUAAUUCGAAGCAACGCGAAGAACCUUACCAGGUCUUGACAUCCCGAUGACCGCUCUAGAGAUAGAGUUUUCCCUUCGGGGACAUUGGUGACAGGUGG
This 248-nucleotide ribosomal RNA is filed under the name uncultured bacterium. Its description in RNAcentral is "partial 16S ribosomal RNA". It matches the Rfam family "Bacterial small subunit ribosomal RNA", at positions 796 to 1041 of the family's 1533-position model. The record is from RNAcentral.